Saccostrea echinata is the source of this 321-nucleotide long non-coding RNA. RefSeq lists it as uncharacterized. The record is from RefSeq and is a predicted model, not a curated record. NCBI's taxonomy places the organism in Eukaryota, Metazoa, Mollusca, Bivalvia, Ostreida, Ostreidae. The transcript is spliced from 2 exons.
UUAAUAAUUUUUAGCUCUACUGGUCAGAGACCAGAAGAGCUUAUGCGAUAGUAAGGUGUCCGUCGUCCGUCCAUCUGUCUGUCUGUCCGUCUGUCUGUAAACAAUUUUUCAAAACACUACUCCUCCUACAGUUUGGGUCUGAUUUCAAUAUAACUUGGCACACAAGUAGACUACACUAAGAUACAUAAUUUAGUGCAUCGGUUUUUGAUUUCGAUGAACGGUGUUGCCAUGGUUACUAAAAAUAGAAAUUUCUGUGAAAUUCCUUUAUAACGCUACUCCUCCUACAGUUUUCAUUUGAUUUCAAUAUAACUUGGCACACAA